This 548-nucleotide ribosomal RNA is filed under the name uncultured bacterium. RNAcentral's name for it is "bacterial SSU rRNA". It matches the Rfam family "Bacterial small subunit ribosomal RNA", at positions 355 to 896 of the family's 1533-position model. The record is from RNAcentral.
UAGGGAAUCUUCCGCAAUGGGCGAAAGCCUGACGGAGCAACGCCGCGUGAGUGAAGAAGGAUUUCGGUUCGUAAAGCUCUGUUGUUAGGGAAGAAUGAUUGUGUAGUAACUAUACACAGUAGAGACGGUACCUAACCAGAAAGCCACGGCUAACUACGUGCCAGCAGCCGCGGUAAUACGUAGGUGGCAAGCGUUGUCCGGAAUUAUUGGGCGUAAAGCGCGCGCAGGUGGUUUAAUAAGUCUGAUGUGAAAGCCCACGGCUCAACCGUGGAGGGUCAUUGGAAACUGUUAAACUUGAGUGCAGGAGAGAAAAGUGGAAUUCCUAGUGUAGCGGUGAAAUGCGUAGAGAUUAGGAGGAACACCAGUGGCGAAGGCGGCUUUUUGGCCUGUAACUGACACUGAGGCGCGAAAGCGUGGGGAGCAAACAGGAUUAGAUACCCCGGUAGUCCACGCCGUAAACGAUGAGUGCUAAGUGUUGGUCUCAUAAGAGAUCAGUGCUGCAGCUAACGCAUUAAGCACUCCGCCUGGGGAGUACGACCGCAAGGUUG